UACAGAGGUCUCAACCGUUGUUCGGAUUCAUUGGGCGUAAAGGGUGCGUAGGCGGUCGCGCAAGUCGGAUGUGAAAUCUCAGGGCUCAACCCUGAAACUGCAUUCGAUACUGCGUGGCUAGAGUGCUGGAGAGGAGACUGGAAUUUACGGUGUAGCAGUGAAAUGCGUAGAUAUCGUAAGGAAGACCAGUGGCGAAGGCGAGUCUCUGGACAGCAACUGACGCUGAGGCUCGAAGGCCAGGGGAGCAAACGGG
RNAcentral lists this ribosomal RNA (253 nucleotides) under uncultured bacterium. Its description in RNAcentral is "partial 16S ribosomal RNA". It matches the Rfam family "Bacterial small subunit ribosomal RNA", at positions 524 to 776 of the family's 1533-position model. The record is from RNAcentral.